RNAcentral lists this ribosomal RNA (372 nucleotides) under uncultured bacterium. RNAcentral's name for it is "bacterial SSU rRNA". It matches the Rfam family "Bacterial small subunit ribosomal RNA", at positions 105 to 511 of the family's 1533-position model. The record is from RNAcentral.
GGUGAGUAACGCGUGAGAAUCUGCCCUCAGGAGGGGGAUAACGGCUGGAAACGGCCGCUAAUACCCCAUAUGCCGCGAGGUGAAAUGAAUUUCGCCUGAGGAUGAGCUCGCGUCUGAUUAGCUAGUUGGUGGGGUAAGAGCCUACCAAGGCAUCGAUCAGUAGCUGGUCUGAGAGGAUGAUCAGCCACACUGGGACUGAGACACGGCCCAGACUCCUACGGGAGGCAGCAGUGGGGAAUUUUCCGCAAUGGGCGAAAGCCUGACGGAGCAACGCCGCGUGAGGGAUGAAGGCCUCUGGGCUGUAAACCUCUUUUAUCAAGGAAGAAGAUCUGACGGUACUUGAUGAAUAAGCCACGGCUAAUUCCGUGCCAG